RNAcentral lists this ribosomal RNA (260 nucleotides) under uncultured prokaryote. RNAcentral's name for it is "partial 16S ribosomal RNA". It matches the Rfam family "Bacterial small subunit ribosomal RNA", at positions 524 to 783 of the family's 1533-position model. The record is from RNAcentral.
UACGUAGGUGGCAAGCGUUAUCCGGAAUUAUUGGGCGUAAAGAGCGCGCAGGUGGUUGAUUAAGUCUGAUGUGAAAGCCCACGGCUUAACCGUGGAGGGUCAUUGGAAACUGGUCGACUUGAGUGCAGAAGAGGGAAGUGGAAUUCCAUGUGUAGCGGUGAAAUGCGUAGAGAUAUGGAGGAACACCAGUGGCGAAGGCGGCUUGCUGGUCUGUAACUGACACUGAGGCGCGAAAGCGUGGGGAGCAAACAGGAUUGGAA